CACGUAGGGGGCGAGCGUUGUCCGGAAUCAUUGGGCGUAAAGAGCUCGUAGGCGGCUCAGUAAGUCGGGUGUGAAACCCUCAGGCUCAACCUGGGGACGCCACCCGAUACUGCUGUGGCUAGAGUCCAGUAGGGGAGUGUGGAAUUCCCGGUGUAGCGGUGAAAUGCGCAGAUAUCGGGAGGAACACCAGCGGCGAAGGCGGCACUCUGGGCUGGUACUGACGCUGAGGAGCGAAAGCGUGGGUAGCAAACAGG
Molecule: ribosomal RNA, 254 nt
Filed under: uncultured bacterium
Lineage: Bacteria
Description: partial 16S ribosomal RNA
Rfam family: Bacterial small subunit ribosomal RNA
Source: RNAcentral